CUACGGGCGGCACCAGUGGGGAAUAUUGGGCAAUGGGCGCAAGCCUGACCCAGCAACGCCGCGUGUGGGAUGAAGGCUUUCGGGUCGUAAACCACUGUCAGGAGGGAAGAAAUGGGUGAAUCCCAAUACGGGUCACCCUUGACGGUACCUCCAGAGGAAGCACCGGCUAACUCCGUGCCAGCAGCCGCGGUAACACGGAGGGUGCAAGCGUUAUUCGGAAUUACUGGGCGUAAAGCGCGCGUAGGUUGCGUGGUAAGUCAGAUGUGAAAGCCCUCGGCUCAACCGAGGAACCGCAUUUGAAACUGCUAUGCUUGAGUACGACAGAGGGUGGCGGAAUUCCCGGUGUAGGGGUGAAAUCCGUAGAUAUCGGGAGGAACACCAGUGGCGAAGGCGGCCACCUGGGUCGAUACUGACGCUGAGGCGCGAAAGCGUGGGUAGCAAACAGGAUUAGAUACCCUUGUAGUC
Molecule: ribosomal RNA, 465 nt
Filed under: uncultured bacterium
Lineage: Bacteria
Description: bacterial SSU rRNA
Rfam family: Bacterial small subunit ribosomal RNA
Source: RNAcentral